GGGUCAGUAGGUUGGUCGUGCCACCGGUACGUACUGGUCUCACUGAUUCCUCCUUCCUGAAGAACCGUGAUGCCAUUAAUUUGGUGUUGCGGGGAAACAGGACUGUUACUUUGAAAAAAUUAGAGUGUUUAAAGCAAGCUAACGCUUGAAUACAUUAGCAUGGAAUAAUGAAAUAGGACGAUCGAUCCUAUUUUGUCGGUUUCUAGGAUUGACGUA
RNAcentral lists this ribosomal RNA (216 nucleotides) under Glomeromycotina sp. Its description in RNAcentral is "partial small subunit ribosomal RNA". The stretch from base 40 to 216 matches the Rfam family "Eukaryotic small subunit ribosomal RNA", at positions 686 to 864 of the family's 1831-position model. Lineage: Eukaryota; Fungi; Glomeromycota. The record is from RNAcentral.